Non-coding RNA from Coturnix japonica (Japanese quail), 1453 nucleotides. The record is from RefSeq and is a predicted model, not a curated record. Lineage: Eukaryota; Metazoa; Chordata; Aves; Galliformes; Phasianidae.
AAUAUUAAAUGUGAGGGCUAUCCCGUGUGUGUUACAUAGAUGAAUUGAUUGACUGUAAUCAUUAGCCACAGAAUUUAAGUGGCAUGUUCACACAAUUCUAGCUUUGCUCCUCUCGUUUCCUUUGUUGUCUCAGGCUAUCUGAGACAGAAGAAUCUUAACGUUUCUUGCUUGCACACCAUUGUCUGUCUCUUCUCUGUGCCUUCCUUCAGUCUAAUUUAAAGCAUUGUAACUGCUGUGAAUACCUGUAUGGAUUCACAUGGAGAAAAGUGUCUGUGUUAAAGAUAAACAAUUGUUCCUGUUAGACUAGAGCAAACCCUUCGUGCCCUGUGUGAAAACCUGUUAAAGUGUUAUUAUAGGGUGCUUUGGUAUUAGUUUGUGGUACCAAACAACAAACAACACCAAAGCAUGCACAGAUAAAGCUGGUGCUCUGAUCUUUGUUUAAACAGGUCAUGGUUUUUCUUUAAUGCUGUCUGCUCAUUACAGGAACUGUCAGCAGAAAUGUAAAGCGGACCGGAGUUCUGAUUUGGAAUACAUUGCCUAUUCUGACAUCAGUGUUUCUGCUUCUUGACUUAAUGAUUACAGUGUUGUUCAUGAUCAUAUUUAUCUAACCGAAUUCAUUGUAAAGAAUUAGAAAAAAAAAAGUCCAUGUUAUGUUCUCUUAGGGAAGGAAUAUGAUCAGAUCUGCUGCCUCAGAUGCUGUCCCUCUCACCUGAAGAGUUACACAGGAGAGGGCUUUUCUCUAUUGUAGCAGAACGUGCAGUGGUAUAUGGAAAGGUUUCUGUUUUUUAAGUCAGCUAGAGUUAUGCCACUGAAUUAUGAGAAAGCUCACGUUCCUUAGAACCAGCUGACCACUUAAUUGAUGUAGAUGCUGUCUGUGAGAAGAAACUAUCAGUGAAUAAAAAUCUGUCGUGAUGCAGUAUAUUCUCCUGACCUUUCAGGUUCAGUUAAUCUAUCACACGUGUAGUCCAGCUUCUCUUACAGCAGGUUUUUCAAAGAGAGGUGUGCUGAUUAGGUAAGAUGUCAUGGUCUUUUCCCGUCGAUGUAGGAAGAUAGCAGAUAUGAUUGCCUGAAAAAGCAGAGCUACCCAGUGCAAGCAUGGCUUUCGCCCAGUCGCACAUUAUGGCAGCUAGAAGGCAUCAGCACAGUAGACUCAUAAUUGAAGUGGAUGAGUACAGCUCCAACCCCACACAGGCUUUCACGUUCUACAACAUUAACCAGGGACGUUUUCAGCCCCCACAUGUGCAAAUGGUUGAUCCGGUGCCCCAUGAUGCUCCCAAACCUCCAGGGUAUACUCGAUUUGUCUGCAUUUCUGAUACUCACUCGAGAACUGAUCCCAUCCAAAUGCCAUAUGGAGAUGUGUUAAUACAUGCUGGUGAUUUCACUGAGCUGGGACUUCCUAGUGAAGUAAAAAAAUUCAACGAGUGGCUAGGUAGGUACUGAAAUCUGUGUGGAU